UUUUCGCAAUGCCCGAAAGGGUGACGAAGCGACGCCGCGUGAGUGAGGAAGGCCUUCGGGUUGUAAAGCUCUGUCAGGAGUUAAGAAAUGUAAGUGUGCUAAUAUCACAUUUAUUUGACGAAAGCUCCAAAGGAAGCCACGGCUAACUCUGUGCCAGCAGCCGCGGUAAUACAGAGGUGGCAAGCGUUGUUCGGAAUUAUUGGGCGUAAAGAGCACGUAGGUGGGCUUGUAAGUCAGAUGUGAAAGCCUUCUGUUCAACGGAAGAAUUGCAUCUGAAACUGCGAAUCUUGAGUGUAGGAGGGGAGAAUGGAACUCCUGGUGGAGCGGUGAAAUGCGUAGAUAUCAGAAGGAACGCCGGCGGCGAAAGCGAUUCUCUGGCCUAUUACUGACACUCAGUGUGCGAAAGCUAGGGGAGCAAACGGGAUUAGAUACCCCGGUAGUCCUAGCCGUAAACGAUGGGCACUAAGUAGAGGGGUUUUAA
RNAcentral lists this ribosomal RNA (481 nucleotides) under uncultured anaerobic ammonium-oxidizing bacterium. RNAcentral's name for it is "bacterial SSU rRNA". It matches the Rfam family "Bacterial small subunit ribosomal RNA", at positions 363 to 834 of the family's 1533-position model. The record is from RNAcentral.